AACCCAUAGUGAGGGCACCUUCUUAAUAAAUCUUUAUACUCUCUCAUAUAUCAUAUAAGGUCUCUAAAUCCAUCUGUACAAAGGAAGAGAUAUCAUUCCUCAAUUU
Small nucleolar RNA from Gossypium arboreum, 106 nucleotides. It matches the Rfam family "Plant small nucleolar RNA R71". From Rfam's summary of the family: R71 is a member of the C/D box family of snoRNAs containing the C (UGAUGA) and D (CUGA) box motifs. Multiple nearly identical copies of this snoRNA have been identified in Arabidopsis, and it is thought to function as a 2'-O-ribose methylation guide for 18S ribosomal RNA. The record is from Rfam. Lineage: Eukaryota; Viridiplantae; Streptophyta; Magnoliopsida; Malvales; Malvaceae.